UUAGGUAGCAUUGGGACGCGAUCCUAUGUGCGUUCCCCUGCUAAAAUUAGUGGGAGUUUGCCAACAAUAAACAGGCGCAGACCAGAAACGUAAGCUACGAAAGUAUGUUAAACGGCUUGCGUUCUUAACUCGAAAGGCCCCAAGAACAUCCAUUGCUUUGCCACUCUAGCAUCCACAGGCGUGCAACUCUCUGGUUCCCCGCUGUGGCUACUGUAGACUAAGUGAAAGGAGAAACUCUAUUGUCACAGGCGGUAGCACACUCUAGCACUGGCCUCCGGCGCACUCUAUAGUCACAACCCGCCCACCAAGAGCAACCGCAGGGUAGCGUCCCCCUGGCGGGGACUAGUUUGGUAAAUGCUGACAAGUACCGGUGGCUCCGGUUUCUUGAGGCGUUAGGGCGAUUCCCUCUGGGCAACGCGAAGCCGAGGCGAAGCCCGGGAAGCCUCUGAGGUUGAUUAUGGACGAGGUGCCCAAAAGCAGUAAUAACAAUUCAUCAACAUCUCCACAAAUAGCAUCUUUACAAGGUACCACUCUACAGGAAGCUCAACUUUCUCAUGUUUCUCAACAGAUGUCUCUUAGAGGUCCAGCUCCACUAACAGUGGUACAUCUGUCUGGAGAUCAGGUCCAGGGAGUCAUUCAUACAGCUCAGACCUCCUCCGUGAUUCACUCACCACAAGGGCAAUCAAUACAGGUACAUUGUUCACAUCCAUAU
Python bivittatus (Burmese python) is the source of this 712-nucleotide non-coding RNA. Lineage: Eukaryota; Metazoa; Chordata; Lepidosauria; Squamata; Pythonidae. The record is from RefSeq and is a predicted model, not a curated record.